GACGAACGCUGGCGGCGUGCUUAACACAUGCAAGUCGAGCGGUAAGGCCCUUUCGGGGGUACACGAGCGGCGAACGGGUGAGUAACACGUGGGUGACCUGCCCUCAGCUCUGGGAUAAGCCCGGGAAACUGGGUCUAAUACCGGAUAUGACUCCAUGACGCAUGUUGUGGGGUGGAAAGCCUUGUGCGGCUGAGGAUGGGCCCGCGGCCUAUCAGCUUGUUGGUGGGGUGAUGGCCUACCAAGGCGACGACGGGUAGCCGGCCUGAGAGGGCGACCGGCCACACUGGGACUGAGACACGGCCCAGACUCCUACGGGAGGCAGCAGUGGGGAAUCUUGCGCAAUGGGCGAAAGCCUGACGCAGCGACGCCGCGUGA
This 375-nucleotide ribosomal RNA is filed under the name uncultured bacterium. Its description in RNAcentral is "bacterial SSU rRNA". It matches the Rfam family "Bacterial small subunit ribosomal RNA", at positions 28 to 404 of the family's 1533-position model. The record is from RNAcentral.